This 310-nucleotide unclassified non-coding RNA is filed under the name uncultured fungus. Its description in RNAcentral is "sequence contains ITS2". The stretch from base 1 to 52 matches the Rfam family "5.8S ribosomal RNA", at positions 103 to 154 of the family's 154-position model. The record is from RNAcentral. Lineage: Eukaryota; Fungi.
AACGCACCUUGCGCUCCUUGGUAUUCCGAGGAGCAUGCCUGUUUGAGUGUCAUUAAAUUUCUCAACUGCUCUUCAUUUUUUGUGAAGUGCAGCUUGGAUGUGGAGGUUUUUGUAGGCUUCAUGUUUUUGAAGCCCACUCCUCUUAAAUAGAUCAGUGGGACCUUUAAUGGGAGACACUGCUUUGGUGUGAUAACUAUCGACGCCAUGGCUGUGACCAUAAAAAUUGGGUCUUGCUUUCAAACAGUCCCCAUGAUGGACAACUUAUGAUCCAUUUGACCUCAAAUCAGGUAGGACUACCCGCUGAACUUAA